RNAcentral lists this ribosomal RNA (253 nucleotides) under uncultured bacterium. RNAcentral describes it as "partial 16S ribosomal RNA". It matches the Rfam family "Bacterial small subunit ribosomal RNA", at positions 524 to 776 of the family's 1533-position model. The record is from RNAcentral.
UACAGAGGGGGCAAGCGUUGUUCGGAAUUACUGGGCGUAAAGGGCGCGUAGGUGGCCUGCUAAGUCGAACGUGAAAUCCCUGGGCUCAACCCAGGAACUGCGUCCGAUACUGGUUGGCUUGAAUCCGGGAGAGGGAUGUGGAAUUCCAGGUGUAACGGUGAAAUGCGUAGAUAUCUGGAGGAACACCGGUGGCGAAGGCGACAUCCUGGACCGGUAUUGACGCUGAGGCGCGAAAGCCAGGGGAGCAAACGGG